RNAcentral lists this ribosomal RNA (292 nucleotides) under uncultured bacterium. Its description in RNAcentral is "partial 16S ribosomal RNA". It matches the Rfam family "Bacterial small subunit ribosomal RNA", at positions 505 to 796 of the family's 1533-position model. The record is from RNAcentral.
GUGUCAGCAGCCGCGGUAAUACGUAGGGGGCCAGCGUUGCUCGGAAUAACUGGGCGUAAAGGGUUCGUAGGCGGUGCGGCAAGUUGGGAGUGAAAUCUCUGGGCUUAACUCAGAGACUGCUUUCAAAACUGCCGUGCUAGAGUGCGGGAGAGGCCAGUGGAAUUGCAGGUGUAGCGGUGAAAUGCGUAGAUAUCUGCAGGAACACCCGUGGCGAAGGCGGCUGGCUGGACCGCAACUGACGCUGAGGAACGAAAGCUAGGGGAGCAAACAGGAUUAGAUACCCUGGUAGUCC